RNAcentral lists this ribosomal RNA (362 nucleotides) under uncultured bacterium. Its description in RNAcentral is "bacterial SSU rRNA". It matches the Rfam family "Bacterial small subunit ribosomal RNA", at positions 29 to 416 of the family's 1533-position model. The record is from RNAcentral.
AACGAACGCUGGCGGCAUGCCUAACACAUGCAAGUCGAACGAAUGGUUUCGGCCAUUAGUGGCGCACGGGUGAGUAACGCGUGGGAAUCUGCCCAGCAGUGGGGGAUAACCUCUGGAAACGGAGGCUAAUACCGCAUACGCCCCUCGGGGGAAAGGCUUGCUGCUGCUGGAGGAGCCCGCGUCGGAUUAGGUAGUUGGUGGGGUAACGGCCUACCAAGCCUGUGAUCCGUAGCUGGUCUGAGAGGAUGAUCAGCCACACUGGGACUGAGACACGGCCCAGACUCCUACGGGAGGCAGCAGUGGGGAAUAUUGGACAAUGGGCGCAAGCCUGAUCCAGCAAUGCCGCGUGAGUGAUGAAGGCC